UCCAGACUCCUACGGGAGGCAGCAGUGGGGAAUAUUGCACAAUGGGGGGAACCCUGAUGCAGCGACGCCGCGUGGGUGAAGGAGUAUUUCGGUAUGUAAAGCCCUAUCGGCAGGGAAGAACAAUGACGGUACCUGACUAAGAAGCACCGGCUAAAUACGUGCCAGCAGCCGCGGUAAUACGUAUGGUGCAAGCGUUAUCCGGAUUUACUGGGUGUAAAGGGGGCGCAGACGGCAAUGCAAGCCAGGAGUGAAAGCCCGGGGCCCAACCCCGGGACUGCUCUUGGAACUGCAUGGCUGGAGUACAGGAGGGGCAGGCGGAAUUCCUAGUGUAGCGGUGAAAUGCGUAGAUAUUAGGAGGAACACCGGUGGCGAAGGCGGCCUGCUGGACUGUGACUGACGUUGAGGCCCGAAGGCGUGGGGAGCAGACAGGAUUAGAUACCCCGGUA
Molecule: ribosomal RNA, 446 nt
Filed under: uncultured bacterium
Lineage: Bacteria
Description: bacterial SSU rRNA
Rfam family: Bacterial small subunit ribosomal RNA
Source: RNAcentral